RNAcentral lists this long non-coding RNA (584 nucleotides) under Brassica napus (rape). RNAcentral's name for it is "long non-coding RNA (BNAP_LNC005053)". The record is from RNAcentral. Lineage: Eukaryota; Viridiplantae; Streptophyta; Magnoliopsida; Brassicales; Brassicaceae.
UAUUACCAUCCCCAAACCAUUAUAUCUGAUCGCACAUACAAAAGGAAGAAGAAGAAUAUAAUCAAAUACAAAGAGAGAGAGUAGGAUAUAACCGUUCGCCCAUGGCCUUAGACUCGAUCGGACCAACCGAAGAUCCUAGCCGAUGGAUCGCCUGCUUACUCCACUGACCUUGGAUGUGUGCUCUUGUUGGUUGGAGUCCUUCUCUAAACCUGUAUCCUUGUCUUUUGUAUCCAUCUCUAAUCGUCCCUUAUUAUCUCAGACGAUCUCUCUCGCCAGGAAAAAUUCACCACCACAACCGGCCUUGUCUUGGUCGAAUAUCUCUCUCUCUCUUUAUUUCUCUCUUCUCUCGGUCUUUGCCUUUUGUUUCUUUAGAAACUGAUGAAUGAAAUCGACCAGAAGGUCCUCUAUUUAUAGAUAAUUGGGUCGGCCAACUGCCAUGGGCGAACAGGUGUGACUUGUUGGUCCAAUAAGUAUAACAUGUUCCAUAGUCCCAUUUCGCCACAACUGCUUCCUAAUGGGCUGGACCUGGGCCUAGACCCAUUACCAAAGCAUGUGGUUGGUCGCAUGGACCCCUCGGCCCAUUA